AUGACCUCACUUGUGGGGGGAUUAGUGGCGAACGGGUGAGUAACACGUGAGUAACCUGCCCUUAACUCUGGGAUAAGCCUGGGAAACUGGGUCUAAUACCGGAUAUGACUCCUCAUCGCAUGGUGGGGGGUGGAAAGCUUUAUUGUGGUUUUGGAUGGACUCGCGGCCUAUCAGCUUGUUGGUGAGGUAAUGGCUCACCAAGGCGACGACGGGUAGCCGGCCUGAGAGGGUGACCGGCCACACUGGGACUGAGACACGGCCCAGACUCCUACGGGAGGCAGCAGUGGGGAAUAUUGCACAAUGGGCGAAAGCCUGAUGCAGCGACGCCGCGUGAGGGAUGACGGCCUUCGGGUUGUAAACCUCUUUCAGUAGGGAAGAAGCGAAAGUGACGGUACCUGCAGAAGAAGCGCCGGCUAACUACGUGCCAGCAGCCGCGGUAAUACGUAGGGCGCAAGCGUUAUCCGGAAUUAUUGGGCGUAAAGAGCUCGUAGGCGGUUUGUCGCGUCUGCCGUGAAAGUCCGGGGCUCAACUCCGGAUCUGCGGUGGGUACGGGCAGACUAGAGUGAUGUAGGGGAGACUGGAAUUCCUGGUGUAGCGGUGAAAUGCGCAGAUAUCAGGAGGAACACCGAUGGCGAAGGCAGGUCUCUGGGCAUUAACUGACGCUGAGGAGCGAAAGCAUGGGGAGCGAACAGGAUUAGAUACCCUGGUAGUCCAUGCCGUAAACGUUGGGCACUAGGUGUGGGGGACAUUCCACGUUUUCCGCGCCGUAGCUAACGCAUUAAGUGCCCCGCCUGGGGAGUACGGCCGCAAGGCUAAAACUCAAAGGAAUUGACGGGGGCCCGCACAAGCGGCGGAGCAUGCGGAUUAAUUCGAUGCAACGCGAAGAACCUUACCAAGGCUUGACAUGAACCGGAAAUACCUGGAAACAGGUGCCCCGCUUGCGGUCGGUUUACAGGUGGUGCAUGGUUGUCGUCAGCUCGUGUCGUGAGAUGUUGGGUUAAGUCCCGCAACGAGCGCAACCCUCGUUCUAUGUUGCCAGCGCGUUAUGGCGGGGACUCAUAGGAGACUGCCGGGGUCAACUCGGAGGAAGGUGGGGACGACGUCAAAUCAUCAUGCCCCUUAUGUCUUGGGCUUCACGCAUGCUACAAUGGCCGGUACAAAGGGUUGCGAUACUGUGAGGUGGAGCUAAUCCCAAAAAGCCGGUCUCAGUUCGGAUUGGGGUCUGCAACUCGACCCCAUGAAGUCGGAGUCGCUAGUAAUCGCAGAUCAGCAACGCUGCGGUGAAUACGUUCCCGGGCCUUGUACACACCGCCCGUCAAGUCACGAAAGUUGGUAACACCCGAAGCCGGUGGCCUAACCCC
RNAcentral lists this ribosomal RNA (1361 nucleotides) under Pseudarthrobacter sp. RNAcentral describes it as "bacterial SSU rRNA". It matches the Rfam family "Bacterial small subunit ribosomal RNA", at positions 69 to 1442 of the family's 1533-position model. The record is from RNAcentral. Lineage: Bacteria; Bacillati; Actinomycetota; Actinomycetes; Micrococcales; Micrococcaceae.